This 282-nucleotide long non-coding RNA is filed under the name Volvox carteri. RNAcentral's name for it is "long non-coding RNA (VCAR_LNC001613)". Lineage: Eukaryota; Viridiplantae; Chlorophyta; Chlorophyceae; Chlamydomonadales; Volvocaceae. The record is from RNAcentral.
CUUUUAGGCGUUGUAGUAUUGCCCUUGGGCCCUCGGCUCGUAUGGGUAGUCUUACAGGUAUGGGGUCACGCACCCCCAACCAUGUAACACACACACACAUGCACACACACACACACACACACACACACUCCCUCUUAGCAUCCGGUGUGUGCUGCGGCCAGCUUUGCCGCAGUGUGCUUGCUAAUUGGUGGAUGAUGACAUCGCCGCCUACAGCGAUAUGGUCAAAAAUCGCAACCAAGACUGGUGGAGUGUUUUCACACUGCUGCACAAUGCUGGCCUGAA